CACUCCUGACGUAGUCCUUUAGGUUUCACAUAACUUUCCCGGUAGAGGGUUUGAAGCCGAAAGCACUCGUUUGCGCCAUUUUCUUUACAUCCUUUGCUUGGUGCUAUAUCGGCGGGUCACUGACGAGUGAGCAGACAUGCAGGUCCCAGAGCUGCUCUUAGAAAAACUGCAAGACCUGACUAAUGAUGACUAUAAAACAUUUAAGUGGUACCUCACCAUGAAGAUCGUGGACAGCUGCAAACCAUUUCCCAGGAGCAAACUCGAGGGCCAAGACCGUAUGGACACUGUGAGUUGUAUGAUAGACAGCUACGGUGAAACGAUGGCUGUGAAAGUCUCGGUUGCGAUCCUGAGGAAAAUGAAUGUCAACAACAUCGCAGACGACUUACAGGGCAAGUUUGAAGCCGUAGAGGGCAGAACAGCUGGAUCCUCUGGAUCCUCUACUUUAAAUCCUACCGCUGGAGCCACGAUGUCGGCUCACCAGGGAGGAAUGGUUAUCGCCCCCACGUUCACCGGUAGCAGCACCGGACCUGUGAAUAUAACCAUCCACCAAAAAUAAUCUCAAUGGCGAUUAGAGCGGAGGGCACAAUAUACGUAGUUUGUAAUUAUUUCUUUCCUUUACAUGAAAUGAAAUUAAUGUUAACUGGUGAUUCUGAACAGGGCCGAGGUAUGAGCUGUGUCGGCCCUGUGAUGGAUGGGAUCUUUUCACACAGUCCAUCUGGUGGAUGUUUCCAUGUAGCUUACACAGUGCAAUCACAUGUUCCUUUUAACACAGGAAUGCCCGGCAUAUGUAACGUCUUUUAAUGAUGCCAGUAAUUAUUGCAGCUACAUAUAAUGCCAUGUAAAGAAUAUACUCUGGAAUAUACUCCGGAAGAGUGUACUCUGUUUACAAUUUGCAGUUUUUAAAGUCUGAUAAACAACCAAAAAAAAGUCAAUCCUGGGAGGGAGUAGCAAAGAGAGACACUUACAUGUACGGGCAUAUUCAUCAUUCAGUCGACUGUAUAACAAACACACACAUCAGGGUCAUUUAGGGUUCUUUAUCUUCCCUUAUCAUGAAACAGCAUGGAUUAUAUCCCAGAAUCCUGAAAAUAAAGCCUGUAAGUGGAAUUAAGCAGCUAUUCAUUUUAAUCUUUAUUCCUUUGAUUUAUCUGUUGUAACAUGUACAAAUGUCCACCUGUGCUUUGCUGUUUCAACAGACUCUGUGAAAUGUUCAAAUUAAAGCAGGCCUCUUAAGCUGUGUAUGUAAACGUA
Molecule: long non-coding RNA, 1248 nt
Organism: Oreochromis aureus
Lineage: Eukaryota; Metazoa; Chordata; Actinopteri; Cichliformes; Cichlidae
Exons: 3
Source: RefSeq, a predicted model, not a curated record